Molecule: ribosomal RNA, 115 nt
Organism: Danio rerio (zebrafish)
Lineage: Eukaryota; Metazoa; Chordata; Actinopteri; Cypriniformes; Danionidae
Source: Ensembl
GCCAGCAGCUAGCUCUCUGCAACUCUCACAUGGUCGCUCACUGAAGCUAAGCAUUGCUGUGCCCGGUCAGUACCUGGAUGGGAGACCAAAUGGGAAAGCUAGGUUGCUGCCGGAA